This 927-nucleotide ribosomal RNA is filed under the name uncultured bacterium. RNAcentral describes it as "bacterial SSU rRNA". It matches the Rfam family "Bacterial small subunit ribosomal RNA", at positions 8 to 916 of the family's 1533-position model. The record is from RNAcentral.
AGAGUUUGAUCCUGGCUCAGAACGAACGCUGGCGGCGUGGAUUAGGCAUGCAAGUCGAACGCGAACGGGCCUUCGGGUCCUAGUAGAGUGGCACAAGGGUGAGUAAUGCGUGGACAACCUGCCCCCGAGACCGGAAUAACGGCGGGAAACUGCCGGUAAUGCCGGAUGGCCCUGCGGAGAGGCAUCUCUCUGUAGGUAAAUGGUAGGCUUCGGCCUUCCGCUCGAGGAGGGGUCCACGUCCUAUCAGCUUGUUGGUGAGGUAAUGGCUCACCAAGGCAUCGACGGGUAGGCGGGCUGAGAGGCUGACCGCCCACACUGGGACUGAGACACUGCCCAGACUCCUACGGGAGGCUGCAGUCGAGAAUCUUCCGCAAUGGACGCAAGUCUGACGGAGCGACGCCGCGUGCGGGAUGAAGGUCUUUGGAUUGUAAACCGCUGUCAGGUGUUAUGAAUGCGCGUGGGUUAAUAGCCUGUCGCGUUGACGAAGGCACCAAAGGAAGUCACGGCUAACUCUGUGCCAGCAGCCGCGGUAAUACAGAGGUGGCAAGCGUUGUUCGGUAUCACUGGGCUUAAAGGGCGCGUAGGCGGCAUGGUACGGUUCGGGUGAAAUCCCACGGCUCAACCGUGGAACGGCCUGAGCAACGGCCAUGCUAGACGGCAUCAGGGGGAGGUGGAACUCCGGGUGGAGCGGUGAAAUGCGUAGAUAUCCGGAGGAACGCCGGUGGCGAAAGCGACCUCCUGGGGUGAUCGUGACGCUGAGGCGCGAAAGCUAGGGGAGCGAACGGGAUUAGAUACCCCGGUAGUCCUAGCCCUAAACGAUGUGCACUAGGUAGUGGGAGCCUCCGAGUUCCCGCUGCCGGAGCAAAAGUUUUAAGUGCACCGCCUGGGGACUACGGUCGCAAGGCUAAAACUCAAAGGAAUUGACGG